AACGAACGCUGGCGGCAUGCCUAACACAUGCAAGUCGAACGAGACCUUCGGGUCUAGUGGCGCACGGGUGCGUAACGCGUGGGAACCUGCCCUUAGGUUCGGAAUAACUCCCCGAAAGGGGUGCUAAUGCCGGAUAAUGUCUUCGGACCAAAGAUUUAUCGCCUUUGGAUGGGCCCGCGUUGGAUUAGCUAGUUGGUAGGGUAAAAGCCUACCAAGGCGACGAUCCAUAGCUGGUCUGAGAGGAUGAUCAGCCACACUGGGACUGAGACACGGCCCAGACUCCUACGGGAGGCAGCAGUGGGGAAUAUUGGACAAUGGGCGAAAGCCUGAUCCAGCAAUGCCGCGUGAGUGAUGAAGGCCUUAGGGUUGUAAAGCUCUUUUACCCGGGAUGAUAAUGACAGUACCGGGAGAAUAAGCACCGGCUAACUCCGUG
Molecule: ribosomal RNA, 433 nt
Filed under: uncultured bacterium
Lineage: Bacteria
Description: partial 16S ribosomal RNA
Rfam family: Bacterial small subunit ribosomal RNA
Source: RNAcentral